This 468-nucleotide ribosomal RNA is filed under the name uncultured bacterium. Its description in RNAcentral is "partial 16S ribosomal RNA". It matches the Rfam family "Bacterial small subunit ribosomal RNA", at positions 28 to 507 of the family's 1533-position model. The record is from RNAcentral.
GACGAGCGCUGGCGGCGUGCUUAACACAUGCAAGUCGAACGGAAAGGCCCUGCUUUUGCGGGGUGCUUGAGAGGCGAACGGGUGAGUAACACGUGAGGAACCUGUACCUGACAUUGGGAUAACUUCUGGAAACUGGGGAGAAUACCGGAUAGGAGCUUCUGCUGCAUGGUGUUGGUUGGAAAGUUUCGGCGGUUGGGGAUGGAUUCGCGGCUUAUCAGCUUGUUGGUGUGGUAGUGGCUUACCAAGGCUUUGACGGGUAGCCGGCCUGAGAGGGUGACCGGGCACAUUGCGACUGAGGUACGGCCCAGACCCCUACGGGAGGCAGCAGUGGGGAAUAUUGCACAAUGGGAGGAAGCCAGAUCCAGCAACGCCGCGUGCGGGAAGACGGCCUUCGGGUUGUAAACCGCUUUCGCCUGUGACGAGGCGUGAGUGACGGUAAUGAGUAAGAAAGCACCGGCUAACUACGUG